AUUUGCAUUACAGGGUGAGUUCUCCGUUGGCAGGUAGCUAGCCACUAUAGUAGUAUAUGAUAUGAAUUAAUUAUGUUACACACAUUAAUUAUGCAAUUCAUAUUUCUUAGUGUGCAAUCUGCCAAAGGAGAUUUGCCCAGUGAUUCUCCA
RNAcentral lists this microRNA precursor (150 nucleotides) under Trifolium pratense (red clover). RNAcentral describes it as "pre miRNA mir-399". It matches the Rfam family "mir-399 microRNA precursor family". Rfam says of the family: mir-399 was identified in both Arabidopsis thaliana and Oryza sativa computationally and was later experimentally verified. mir-399 is thought to target mRNAs coding for a phosphatase transporter. The record is from RNAcentral. Lineage: Eukaryota; Viridiplantae; Streptophyta; Magnoliopsida; Fabales; Fabaceae.